UACAGAGGGUGCAAGCGUUAAUCGGAAUUACUGGGCGUAAAGCGCGCGUAGGCGGUUAUGUAAGUUGGAUGUGAAAUCCCCGGGCUUAACCUGGGCACUGCAUUCAAAACUGCAUAGCUAGAGUAUUGGAGAGGAAGGUAGAAUUCCAGGUGUAGCGGUGAAAUGCGUAGAGAUCUGGAGGAAUACCGAUGGCGAAGGCAGCCUUCUGGCCAAAUACUGACGCUGAGGUGCGAAAGCAUGGGGAGCAAACAGG
Molecule: ribosomal RNA, 253 nt
Filed under: uncultured bacterium
Lineage: Bacteria
Description: partial 16S ribosomal RNA
Rfam family: Bacterial small subunit ribosomal RNA
Source: RNAcentral